CAUGCCGCGUGUGUGAAGAAGGUCUUCGGAUUGUAAAGCACUUUAAGUUGGGAGGAAGGGCAGUAAGUUAAUACCUUGCUGUUUUGACGUUACCGACAGAAUAAGCACCGGCUAACUCUGUGCCAGCAGCCGCGGUAAU
This 139-nucleotide ribosomal RNA is filed under the name uncultured Pseudomonas sp. RNAcentral's name for it is "partial 16S ribosomal RNA". It matches the Rfam family "Bacterial small subunit ribosomal RNA", at positions 393 to 524 of the family's 1533-position model. The record is from RNAcentral. Lineage: Bacteria; Pseudomonadati; Pseudomonadota; Gammaproteobacteria; Pseudomonadales; Pseudomonadaceae.